Molecule: small nuclear RNA, 104 nt
Organism: Neogale vison (American mink)
Lineage: Eukaryota; Metazoa; Chordata; Mammalia; Carnivora; Mustelidae
Source: Ensembl
GUGCUCGCUUCGGCAGCACAUAUACUAAAACUGGAACGAUACGGAGAUUAGCAAGGCCCCUGGGCAAGGAUGACACGCAAAUCUGUGAAGGGUUCCAUAUUAAA